GGGUAAGCAGGUUCACAUGUGCUGAAGUGUUCCUGUAGUUAUCCGCUGCAAUCCUCUUUCUUGUUUAUGCCUUCGAAAGCAUCGUCUAGUCCAUCCAGCAGAGCUGUCGUCCUCCUCACGACAGUGAGCAACAGGCAAUCAUCACAGCCUGAACACCAUCACACACUGAAUCGUGAUGCGAGCCAAUACAAGCCCAGAAACCCCAAGUGGCUGCAGCCUAGAGUGAAGCCCAAGCCACAAUGGAAACCAUGUGUGUUGGACCAGAAACACUCAGAAAGGCGUCCCGUCAACACCCAGUGAAGGCCAAAUAGCCCGCCCAUGUAGCACAGAUGACCAGGAAGAGGAGCCCAAACUAAUCUCCCUUUUUUAGUAAAGUAACUAGUGUAUAUGUAGUGAUAAGCUGGGUUAGCUGCUGCUGAUUUUCAGAGGGUUUCCUGAGUUCCUGCAGUGACCUGUAAGUCUGUGUUUAUUGCAGUCCUGCCUGAGGGCUUCAACACCUUCAGCAUUCAGAGUCUGCAGCCUGGUCCUUUGUGCACUGGGAUUUCUCUGGAUUCUCUGAAGAUGAAUGGGUUAACUUAAAACCUGCCUGAGGUACUUUUUAUGUCCAGUAGAGGGAGAUGUUGGUUCUGCAUGAAUGUGAGCAGAAGCUACUCUUCCAAAGUGUCCUGCAAACUCAAGUUUUUAAAGAUAAUGUUAGUGGUGGCAAAUGUUAACUGGGUGUCAGUUUUAUAUUGUUGGAUUGUCAUUUAUGCUUAGAAAUAUAUAUUUAUAUAUAUUUAGAAAUUUAUAAUCAUUUAGAAGUAUAUAAUCAUUUGUAGAUUGAAAGAAUGUCUCAUCCUAGGGGGUCUGUAACAAGUCUGUGUAGUGUGAAGAGGGGAGUGCGUUCACUCCUCUUCAGAGUGUUCUGGCUUGGAUCACACACCUCUUAGGAUCGUGAGAGAGGUCGUAUCUUCUCUUGCUGAUAUAUGGUAUAUCAACCCACACACACACACACACACACACACACACACAUACCUACACUAUGCACAGACUGAUACUCUUUGGUCACAUGUAUAUCUAUGUAAGACAUCAUAUGUUAAUGAACUCAUGCAUAUUCAUGUAACCUCAAUAAAAGAGCAGUGUUACGAGGGAGCAGACGAGAGCAACUGGGGUCAAGCGAAGGAUUGGCGCUCAUCCAGUUCUCUCCCUCG
This is a long non-coding RNA of Oreochromis aureus, 1190 nucleotides long. RefSeq lists it as uncharacterized. Lineage: Eukaryota; Metazoa; Chordata; Actinopteri; Cichliformes; Cichlidae. The record is from RefSeq and is a predicted model, not a curated record. The transcript has 3 exons.